AAAGAGGGAAAGAAGUUGGGCUCUGACCACCUAAAAAGACUGAAUAAUCUUCUGGAGAAGAUCAGUUUCCUCGAGUUCUGUACAUGAGGGAAGGCACUUGGAUCCAGCCGCCUAAAAUACUAACUGAACAAUCUUCCCCAAAGACGAGGUGCCUCAAGUUUCGAGUCGCCUUUAUCGAGUAGUGGAUGGAAGCGGAAGGGGAAGGGGGAGGGGAAGAGAGAGGGGGAGUAUCGCUUCAUGAGACAAUGGUGAUGUUACUGCACUUAAAAUCUCUUCCCUCUCCCUUUCAGGAACAAAUACUUGUCGCUCUUCCUUAGGUAAUGGAUCAUAGACGAAGGAUAGAUCCCUAUUAGCUGAGAGAGCAAGUAGCUCCUUCUCCUCCAGCCCUUUGGUGGGACACAAGCUGCAACGAUCCGGACUGUGCUUCGCCAGAGCAUCUUUAAAUUUCUUGAUCUGUCAUGAUAUCAUCAACAUCACUAUGAGUAUGGUUUCAGAGUAAGAUUGCGCAAAGAAAAAGAAAUAACGUGUGAACACAAGGCCACAUAGCCGGGGCAAGCAUUACUAAGAACUUAACAUCGUUGCAGGACUUGUAAACUCUCAGCUUCAACCCAUAUAUCAGGUAAGUAAAGAAAAGUAACAAACAGGGGAACAAAGGUAUAAGACUCACCGUGGCAUUGGUACAACUAAAACUGCACAGACGACCAUGAGCACCUCUAUAAAAGCGGAAGAAGGGAAGGACAUGGAUAUUAAGAGCAUAGCACAUAGCCUUGUGCUCAUCAUAAUUAACCUGCAGGAACUGCACGUGCGGAUUCAUCUCCGCCAAUUGACAUAUCUGUGGUUCCAAAAACACAACCCUGAUUGAUUAUUAACAAACAUACCUCUAGACAAAAUGAUGAUCAAUUGAUUUUGUCUUCAAUCAAAACAUCAGUCAAAAUUCAACAAGCACAAGCCUAAAAUGUUUGGUUGUACCUUGGGAUGAAGAGCUUUGCAACCUCCACAGCCGGGGGAAAAGAAAUCAACUACAACAAGUUUAUCCCCAGCAUGCAAAAGGGAGUCAACCAGGUCUUGGGCACCAGUCACCUCUUUCAUAUUAGGUAGAACCCCUUUCUCCCACCACUUCUGAGCUUUCCCAAUUGCAAAGCCCACCUGUAUACACACACAAUUCAAAGGUUAGAAUUAUCCUUAAGAUUUAUGCACCAAUAACAAACCAGAAUGCUACAACCUAAGAGCCAAAUCAAUCAUGGAACCUGAAAAUUGAAAUCAAACCAUCGGAAACAUAUUCACAAAUUAAUUAACCAGGGAAACAGAAAGACUAUAUUUUUGCAUAGGUAUGAAAACUUCUGUUAGGACAGUUGUAGGGAUAUAACUUAAAUAAAUAAAGCAGCAACACAACCAUCCACAAGUUUAUUCGUAUAAAAUGCAAUCGUUUAAUUUGUCAAGUUAAAUUUUAAUUGACCUGGAGAAAGAAAAAGGAAUUCUCCUUUCAAGCAAAAAUAUGUUCAGACGGAAAUGAUCAAUCUUUCAUAAGGCAGGCAAAAUUCAACUCUUUGAAAAAAGGUAUAGAAACGCUGCUUCAGAUCAGGUGGGGGUGGUGUGGUGAAACGCAAUGAAGAGAGCUGGCUUUCUGCUCAGAUUUUGUGAAUUGAAUCGAUAUAAUAAUGCCAAACCCCAUCAUAUUUUGUAGUAUCUAACAUGGAUGGUGUCAAUUUAAUAAAAUAAAAAGAAACGGGCAAAUACACCACAAAUUCAAUUUCAAAUCUGCACUACAUAAUUGAAAUAAUUGAAGAGUAUUGAGGACAAAUAACAAACGUGGGCAUUAGGAGGCGGUGGUCGAGGAUUUCGUCUGAUGGCUCCGAUGUUUCCACGGGCGAAAAAUUCGGCGCUUGCAAUAAUAAGGUUUAAACAUCUACAUGCCUUGCAUAUAGCAUUUUCGUUUGUUUAUCGCCCUUCACCAACAUAAUUUACACUAGAAGAUAACAUACAUCUGCACAAAGAGGGAAAGAAGUUGGGCUCUGACCACCUAAAAAGACUGAAUAAUCUUCUGGAGAAGAUCAGUUUCCUCGAGUUCUGUACAUGAGGGAAGGCACUUGGAUCCAGCCGCCUAAAAUACUAACUGAACAAUCUUCCCCAAAGACGAGGUGCCUCAAGUUUCGAGUCGCCUUUAUCGAGUAGUGGAUGGAAGCGGAAGGGGAAGGGGGAGGGGAAGAGAGAGGGGGAGUAUCGCUUCAUGAGACAAUGGUGAUGUUACUGCACUUAAAAUCUCUUCCCUCUCCCUUUCAGGAACAAAUACUUGUCCCUCUUCCUUAGGUAAUGGAUCAUAGACGAAGGAUAGAUCCCUAUUAGCUGAGAGAGCAAGUAGCUCCUUCUCCUCCAGCCCUUUGGUGGGACACAAGCUGCAACGAUCCGGACUGUGCUUCGCCAGAGCAUCUUUAAAUUUCUUGAUCUGUCAUGAUAUCAUCAACAUCACUAUGAGUAUGGUUUCAGAGUAAGAUUGCGCAAAGAAAAAGAAAUAACGUGUGAACACAAGGCCACAUAGCCGGGGCAAGCAUUACUAAGAACUUAACAUCGUUGCAGGACUUGUAAACUCUCAGCUUCAACCCAUAUAUCAGGUAAGUAAAGAAAAGUAACAAACAGGGGAACAAAGGUAUAAGACUCACCGUGGCAUUGGUACAACUAAAACUGCACAGACGACCAUGAGCACCUCUAUAAAAGCGGAAGAAGGGAAGGACAUGGAUAUUAAGAGCAUAGCACAUAGC
Molecule: long non-coding RNA, 2756 nt
Filed under: Olea europaea (common olive)
Lineage: Eukaryota; Viridiplantae; Streptophyta; Magnoliopsida; Lamiales; Oleaceae
Description: long non-coding RNA (OEUR_LNC000973)
Source: RNAcentral